UGGGGAAUAUUGCACAAUGGGCGCAAGCCUGAUGCAGCCAUGCCGCGUGUAUGAAGAAGGCCUUCGGGUUGUAAAGUACUUUCAGCGGGGAGGAAGGGAGUAAAGUUAAUACCUUUGCACAUUGACGUUACCCGCAGAAGAAGCACCGGCUAACUCCGUGCCAGCAGCCGCGGUAAUACGGAGGGUGCAAGCGUUAAUCGGAAUUACUGGGCGUAAAGCGCACGCCGGCGGUUUGUUAAGUCAGAUGUGAAAUCCCCUGGCUCAACCUGGGAACAGCAUCUGAUACUGGCAAGCUUGAGUCUCGUAGAGGGGGGUAGAAUUCCAGGUGUAGCGGUGAAAUGCGUAGAGAUCUGGGGGAAUACCGGUGGCGAAGGCGGCCCCCUGGACGAAGACUGACGCUCAGGUGCGAAAGCGUGGGGAGCAAACCGG
Molecule: ribosomal RNA, 429 nt
Filed under: Chloroflexota bacterium
Lineage: Bacteria; Bacillati; Chloroflexota
Description: Chloroflexi bacterium partial 16S ribosomal RNA
Rfam family: Bacterial small subunit ribosomal RNA
Source: RNAcentral